RNAcentral lists this ribosomal RNA (1403 nucleotides) under uncultured organism. RNAcentral describes it as "SSU rRNA". It matches the Rfam family "Bacterial small subunit ribosomal RNA". The record is from RNAcentral.
ACGAACGCUGGCGGCGCGCCUAACACAUGCAAGUCGAACUUUUGAGAGAGAGCUUGCUUUCUCAAGCGAGUGGCGAACGGGUGAGUAACGCGUGAGGAACCUGCCUCAAAGAGGGGGACAACAGUUGGAAACGACUGCUAAUACCGCAUAAGCCCACGGCUCGGCACCGAGCAGAGGGAAACGGAGCAAUCCGCUUUGAGAUGGCCUCGCGUCCGAUUAGCUAGUUGGUGAGGUAACGGCCCACCAAGGCGACGAUCGGUAGCCGGACUGAGAGGUUGAACGGCCACAUUGGGACUGACACACGCCCCAGACUCCUACGGGAGGCAGCAGUGGGGAAUAUUGCACAAUGGGGGAAACCCUGAUGCAGCGACGCCGCGUGGAGGAAGAAGGUCUUCGGAUUGUAAACUCCUGCUGUUGAAGAAGAUAAUGACGGUACUCAACAAGGAAGUGACGGCUAACUACGUGCCAGCAGCCGCGGUAAAACGUAGGUCACAAGCGUUGUCCGGAAUUACUGGGUGUAAAGGGAGCGCACGCGGGAAGACAAGUUGGAAGUGAAAUCCAUGGGCUCAACCCAUGAACUGCUUUCAAAACUGUUUUUCUUGAGUAAGUGCAAAGGUAGGCGGAAAUUCCCGGUGUAGCGGUGGAAUGCGCAUAUAUCGGGAGGAACACCAGUGGCGAAGGCGGCCUACUGGGCACCAAACUGACGCUGAGGCUUGGAAGUGUGGGUAGGCAAACAGGAUUAGAUACCCUGGUAGUCCACACUGUAAACGAUUGAUUACUAGGUGUUGGAGGAUUGACCCCUUCAGUGCCGCAGUUAACACAAUAAGUAAUCCACCUGGGGAGUACGACCGCAAGGUUGAAACUCAAAGGAAUUGACGGGGGCCCGCACAAGCAGUGGAGUAUGUGGUUUAAUUCGACGCAACGCGAAGAACCUUACCAAGUCUUGACAUCCCUUGACGAUGCUGGAAACAGUAUUUCUCUUCGGAGCAAGGAGACAGGUGGUGCAUGGUUGUCGUCAGCUCGUGUCGUGAGAUGUUGGGUUAAGUCCCGCAACGAGCGCAACCCUUAUGGUCAGUUACUACGCAAGAGGACUCUGGCCAGACUGCCGUUGACAAAACGGAGGAAGGUGGGGAUGACGUCAAAUCAUCAUGCCCUGUAUGACUUGGGCUACACAUGUACUACAAUGGCGUUAAACAAAGAGAAGCAAGAUCGCGAGGUGGAGCAAAAGUCAGAAACAACGUCCCAGUUCGGACUGCAGGCUGCAACUCGCCUGCACGAAGUCGGAAUUGGUAGUAAUUGCAGAUCAGCAUGCUGCGGUGAAUACGUUCCCGGGCCUUGUACACACCGCCCGUCACACCAUGAGAGCCGGGGGGACCAGAAGUCGGUAGUCUAACCGCAAGGAG